Non-coding RNA from Epinephelus lanceolatus (giant grouper), 609 nucleotides. NCBI's taxonomy places the organism in Eukaryota, Metazoa, Chordata, Actinopteri, Perciformes, Serranidae. The record is from RefSeq and is a predicted model, not a curated record.
CCCGCAGGUGAGCUAGCAUGACUUUAACUUAAGCUAACGUUGCCUUGGUAACUACAAUUGAGCUAACGAUUAAUUAGCUUAACUUACAGCUAGUGAGUUAGCAUGUGCGCAUUAAGUUAGCUGUUCAUGUUUUGACAUUUUAGAAGCUAACAGUUCGGCCUUUAACGUUAUGGCCCCAACAAAAACAUUUAAACUGAUAUAGCGAAACUCGUUUGUCCACGGAAAAGACGUGUAAGUUGUAAAUGUAACGGAUAACGGCUCAACAGUGGUAACAUUAGCAAGCUAACGUUAGCUUGUUAGCAGGCUAGCUAAACGUUAGCAGAUUCCGGGAGCCGGAAGCUGAGGAGACAGGUGGAGCUGCGGACUAUCAGAUGCAGAAGGCCAGGUACCAGUAGCAGGGCAGAGACAAGAGCACAGAGGCAACAGGGUUUUCAGGAAUGUGGGCUUUUCUUAUGGGCAUGCAUCUCCAUCCCCUGCCUUGACUGUUGGCAAGUUAGCCAUACAGAAAGAGACAACCUACUGUCUCUGGCUCUGUCCGGCCCUCCUGUCACAGCAAAGUGACUGAGUUUUCCCCAGACAGGCCCAGGGUAAUUGGAACACUGGACUGAG